UGCAACCCCUAGGAUUAAGGGUCCCCA
Molecule: non-coding RNA, 27 nt
Filed under: Homo sapiens (human)
Lineage: Eukaryota; Metazoa; Chordata; Mammalia; Primates; Hominidae
Source: RNAcentral